CCCACCGGCUGUUCCAGCAGCAUCUACCCUCCAACUCCCACCAGGAAGACAAACGGAGGACAAUCUUGAAAUACAAAAAUUUCCUCCUUGGAAUUUGCUGCUGCUGCUGCUGUCUCCGCCGCCACUGCUGCUGCCGCGGUGCAGUGCCAAGACUCUCGGAAUAAAUAAAAGAGGGCUACAGUGUGUGUCUAGCUACAGCCGGCUAAUAGCUAUUUUAGUUGGCCGUAUAUUUCGAAGAUCACAGAUGAAGUGGGGACGCCUGUCUUCUUCGUUUGGUCAGCGUGUGAAACAAUAAUCCCCGUAACAAAAAGAAGGGAGAUGGGGGAGAAAAAAAAUCCUAACAUGAAUCAGAAGAAAUAGUAUCUAGCACCCCCCCUCCCCAGCCCCCCCCAAACCAACCUCUCCCCCCCUUCCCCCGAUCCCUCUCUCCCUCUCUCCACACGCUUGCAGGCGCGGACACGCGCGCGCGCACACAGACACACAGACACACACAUAGACACACACACACUGUACUGUACUGUGUAUUUUCGGAAGAGGAGGUGGCUUUCGGAAGAGGAGGCAGCGGUGGUGUCGGGGAGGGGGGAAUCUCUUUCCCCGUCUGGAGAUGGUUGUGCUAUUCCUCUUUGCCUUGCUCUGGAUGGUGGAGGGGGCUUUUUGCCAGCUCCAUUACACGGUGCAGGAAGAGCAGGAGCAUGGCACGUUCGUGGGGAAUAUCGCCGAGGACCUGGGCUUGGACAUUACAAAACUUUCGGCUCGGCGCUUCCAGACGGCGCCCAACUCCCGCAGCCCUUACCUGGAGCUUAACCUAGAAACCGGGGUGCUCUACGUGAACGAGAAGAUCGACCGGGAGCAGAUCUGCAAGCAGAGCCCCUCCUGCCUGCUGCACCUGGAGGUCUUCCUGGAGAACCCCCUGGAGCUGUUCCGGGUGGAGAUCGAGGUGCUGGACAUCAACGACAACCCGCCCUCCUUCCCGGAGCCCGACCUCACCGUGGAGAUCUCGGAGAGCGCCACGCCGGGCACCCGCUUCCCGCUGGAGAGCGCAUUCGACCCCGACGUGGGCACCAACUCCCUGCGCACCUACGAGAUCACCCCCAACAGCUACUUCUCCCUCGACGUGCAGACGCAGGGCGACGGGAACCGCUUCGCCGAGCUGGUGCUGGACCAGCCGCUGGACCGGGAGCAGCAGGCGGUGCACCGCUACGUGCUGACGGCGGUGGACGGCGGGCAGCCCCAGCAGCGCACCGGCACCGCCCUGCUCACCGUCAGGGUGCUGGACUCCAACGACAACGUGCCCGCCUUCGAGCAGCCCGUCUACACCGUGUCGCUGCCGGAGAACUCGCCGCCGGGCACCCUGGUGCUGCAGCUCAACGCCACGGACCCCGACGAGGGGCAGAACGGCGAGAUCAUCUACUCCUUCAGCAGCCACAUCUCGGCCCGCGCCCGGGAGCUCUUCGGCAUCGCGCCGCGCACCGGGCGCCUGGAGGUGAGCGGCGAGCUGGACUACGAGGAGAGCAGCGUGUACCAGGUGUACGUCCAAGCCAAGGACCUGGGGCCCAACGCCGUGCCCGCCCACUGCAAAGUGCUGGUGCGGGUGCUGGACGCCAACGACAACGCGCCCGAGAUCAGCUUCUCCACCGUCAAGGAGGCGGUGAGCGAGGCGGCGGCGCCGGGCACCGUGGUGGCCCUUUUCAGCGUCUCGGACCGCGACUCGGAGGAGAACGGGCAGGUGCAGUGCGAGCUGCUGCAGGGCGACGCGCCCUUCCGCCUCAAGAGCUCCUUCAAGAACUACUACACCAUCGUCACCGAGGGGCCGCUGGACCGCGAGCAGCCGGGCGGCGACGCCUACACGCUCACCGUGGUGGCCCGGGACCACGGCGAGCCGCCGCUCAGCACCAGCAAGUCCAUCCAGGUGCGGGUGAGCGACGUGAACGACAACGCGCCGCGCUUCAGCCAGCCCGUGUACCAGGUGUACGUGAGCGAGAACAACGUGCCCGGCGCCUACAUCUACGCCGUCAGCGCCACCGACCGCGACCAGGGCGCCAACGCCCGCCUCGCCUACUCCAUCCUGGAGAGCCAGAUCCAGGGCAUGUCCGUCUUCACCUACGUCUCCAUCAACUCCGAGAACGGGUUUCUCUACGCCCUCCGCUCCUUCGACUACGAGCAGCUCAAAGAGUUCAGCUUCCAGGUGGAGGCCCGCGACGCGGGCGAGGAGCCGCAGCCGCUGGCCGGCAACGCCACCGUCCACAUCAUCGUGGUGGACCAGAACGACAACGCCCCCGCCAUCGUCAGCCCCCUGCCCGGCCGCAACGGCACCCCGGCGCGGGAGGCGCUGCCCCGCGGCGCCGAGCCGGGAUACCUGGUGAGCCGGGUGGCGGCCGUGGACGCCGACGACGGCGAGAACGCCCGCCUCACCUACAGCAUCGCGCGGGGCAACGAGGCCGGGCUGUUCCGCAUGGACUGGCGCUCCGGGGAGCUGCGGACGGCGCGCAGGGUGCCGGCCAAGCGCGACCCGCAGCGCCCCUACGAGCUGGUCAUCGAGGUGCGCGACCACGGGCAGCCGCCGCUCUCCUCCACCGCCGCCGUGCAGGUGGUGCUGGUGGACGGCGCGGGAGAGCGGUCCGGAGGCGGCGGCGGCCCGGCCGCGGGCACCGGGGCGGGGGGCGGCGGCGGCGGCUCCGGCGAGCAUCGCCCCAGCCGCUCCGGGGGGGAUAACUCGCUUGACCUCACCCUCAUCCUCAUCAUCGCCCUGGGCUCCGUCUCCUUCAUCUUCCUGCUGGCCAUGAUCGUCCUGGCGGUGCGCUGCCAGAAGGAGAAGAAGCUCAAUAUCUACACCUGCCUGGCCAGCGACUGCUGCCUGGGCUGCUGCUGCUGCUGCCCCUGCUGCAGCCGGCAGGCGCGGGCCCGCAAGAAGAAGCUCAGCAAGUCGGACAUCAUGCUGGUGCAGAGCUCCAACGUGCCGAGCAACCCCGCGCAGGUGCCGGUGGAGGAGUCGGGCAGCUUCGGCUCCCACCACCACAACCAGAACUACUGCUACCAAGUCUGCCUCACCCCCGAGUCCGCCAAGACCGACCUGAUGUUCCUCAAGCCCUGUAGCCCCUCUCGCAGCACCGACGCCGAGCACAACCCCUGCGGGGCCAUCGUCACCGGCUACGCCGACCAGCAGCCCGACAUCAUCUCCAACGGCAGCAUUUUGUCCAGCGAGACAAAGCAUCAGCGUGCUGAGCUCAGUUAUCUAGUUGACAGACCCCGACGAGUAAACAGUUCUGCAUUCCAGGAAGCAGACAUAGUAAGCUCUAAGGACAGUGGUCAUGGAGACAGUGAGCAAGGAGACAGUGAUCAUGAUGCCACUAAUCGAGGUCAAUCCUCUGUUUCUUUUUCUUUCAUGCUUGCAGGCAUGGACCUCUUCUCCAAUUGCACAGAGGAAUGUAAAGCACUGGGCCACUCAGAUCGGUGCUGGAUGCCUUCCUUUGUUCCAUCCGAUGGACGCCAAGCUGCAGAUUACCGCAGCAAUCUGCACGUACCUGGCAUGGACUCCGUUCCAGACACUGAAGUGUUUGAAACACCAGAAGCCCAGCCCGGGGCAGAAAGGUCCUUCUCCACCUUUGGCAAAGAGAAGGCCCUUCACAACAGUCUGGAGAGGAAGGAGUUCGAUGGACUGCUGUCUAAUACACGAGCGCCUUACAAACCACCAUAUUUGAUGGGAUACUGUAGGAAAUGGCCUUCUUUUGCUGAAAGCUAAAAUACAAGGAUUAAGCCAUUAGGAGAAGAGGUAAAAUCCAGAGUAGAGCUGAUUUUGGUGUGGAUAGCCACAAUCAAAAUAUAUACAGCCAAGAAAAUGCUUCUGAUGCUUCUCCCUGCACCCUUGCAAAGGAAAAUAGCUGAUAUAAAAAUAUCACAUGAUGGGGGUGGUGAAAAGCCUGAAAACAGACGAAGAAAGGCAGCUCAUAAUAAGAAAUCUGAUGCCACCUGGAAAAUUUGUACACCAUAGAAGAAAAAAAAAUGCCACCUUCUAGGGAAGUACAUACUUGGAAAAAGAUGCAUUGUAACUGAUGUGGGGGUUUUGGGGCUGUUUUUUAGGUUUUUUUACAAAAAUCCAGAUAAUUGACAUGUGGGGCCUCUGGGUCUUGCAGGACUUGCCCUUGAUGAAGCCAUGUAAGAUGUCUUGAAUCACUUCCCUGUCCUCCAUGUGCCUUAUUAGACCUUCAGGAGGAUCUUCCCAGAAUGUUCCAUGAUCUUCCCAGGCCCAUAGGUGAGGCUGACAGGCAAAGGACCUCAUAAAUGCUUCCAAAUGGAGAGGUGGAUCUCCAGGGUCUUCUCUGCUACCCAUAUGCAGUUCUGUGAGCUUUUCUUCCUGGAGUGAUAUCCUCAUGGGUGGUGGCUUGGCAGCUUGCUUUGAAAACUGUAUUUUUAGAGCUGUUCACAUGCUUUAUGAAGACAAAUUAAUCAUAUCCAAAUAAACAGUGAAAGAAGAGUAUGAAGAAGGGUAUGGAGAGAAAAAAGAAUGAUAAAUAGAAUGACUGCAGAUAUUAUAUCAGAACAUGUGGGCUUUGAUUUUUGUAGUUACUUUUCAUCAUGGGAGAGGUCUUUGUCAGAGCUUACAGAGUUUUGAAAACAUUUUAAUGGAAUUUUUUUUGAAGGAUUUUUCAGUCAUCAAGAGGCAAGGGGAGAUCAUAAAGGGAAAGACCAUGGCACACCGUGCAACAGCUUACAAGUGAGUUGUAGCAAUUACAUUAGGCCACUGGGUCCCUAAACCGAGCGCUCCGGGCCAGAGUGGAGGCAGAGGCUGCCCUCCCUCUCUUCCUGCGGGGAGGUGAAAAGCUGGGAGCACCCCACCUCUGUGGGGUCAGAUGCAAAAUCAACUUGUCUGCACAGAGCCACAUCAGCUGCGAGGGAAGCUGUCUGCACAGCCACGGUACCUAACUGCUGCUGUAAGCUGGACUCAAAGAUGCUGAUGUGUGUAACUGUAGUGAUGGGUUUAUGGAGAACAAUCUACUCAUGUUUUCCAUCUUGAUUCAUGGUUCACUCAUGAUGGUUUGAUGAUCCUGAAAGAACUAUGACCUUCUUCUUGAAAGCAUGCAGGGAGUCCUGGAAUCACUUGCGGGCACACAACAGGAAUACCAACAAGGUUACAAACAUAAACAGGAAAUUCUGUGAGGCUGGAUUUUGUCACACUGGAGUCAAGGGCCAGCUUUGUCACUGACUUGCAUAAGUGAGCCCUAAGUGAACUCAAGAGAGGCAGAAUGGGUAAAAAAGGAAACAUUUUUUCAUUUCACUACAUGUCUCAGUGCUGGUUUUCUAAGAAGACUUUCCUGUCCCUAAUAAAUUGUACAUGGUAGUAAAACUGUUUUCAAAUCAUAAUUUUGGCAGAUGUUUGCCAUUAAAAACUUGUGGAAUAAUGCAGUGACUUUUUUUUACCAAGUUUCUUUACAAAUAAUGAACCAUAUACAUUUGUAAUCGGUGCUUGUUGGAAGAAAAAAAUCAACUUUUUAACAAAGUGUACGUCCAUACAGGUAGUCUGAUUUGUGUAGAGACUACAUAAAGAGAAGAAAAUGUAAUUGGAUCUCUGAGACUGAACAUUACAUGGUAAAUUCUCAAAGUAAAACUUCUAGUUUUUCAUUUACUCAUGAUUUUCAUCUGUGUUUGGCAAAAUGGGGGCUUGUCUGGAGGAAACUGCAAUAAUUGGCACACUACUACUAAUGUUGUCAUUGUAAUAAUUCAUAUUUCAAAUCAAUUAAAAACAACUGACUGCAAACAAAAUUAGUAUAAUUAAAAAUAUUUCUUUGUAUCAUCAUCAGAACCGGAGACACAGCACAGAUGUUCUCAGCAUACCUCAGUAUGUAUUUUAAACUUCAUAAUGUUUUCAUUAAACCAACUAUUAAGCAGGUAUAAGAAUUUUGAAAAAGAGUGCCAUUCUCUAACAAACCAAAACUGCUCCUUUCUUGUCAUUUCCUUGUCAGAUGAGCCAUGGGAACAAACUUACUUUUGAUGGGGACAAACUCAUUUUGAUGGGGGUGAAAAGGAGAAGUUCAGAGUGAAGUGCCUGCCCUGUCUGUGCCUGUGGGACUACAGUGCUGGGAGGACUUUUGUGCAUAAGACCACCUUCCUCUGAAAAUGACCAUUUGCUCCUUAUUCGAGGGCAUUUUAACCUCAAAUACAGCAUUUAGCACACCAAGGAGCCAUGCAAAGAUUUGGGAGGGUUUUUACUGUGUGGUUGACAUACUUGAAUACAAAGAGAGAACCUGUUUUGUGUUCAGUUGUGAUUAAAAAUAAUGUGGUAUGUUUUUCCAGUCUACUUUGGAUAAAUUCAGUACUCUUAUUCAUGUUAAUAAAAGUCAUGCAAUAUGAGCACAAGCCAAGACUGAAAUUAUCCCGUAGUGGCAUUUAAAUUAGUAGAGAAAAAAUAUGUUCACUCCCUGUAAUACUGGAUUCUUUUUGCCCCUUUCUUUUUAAUUUCUAUUAAUACAAAUUAUUUGAGCAUUAGUAUAUUGGUCUUAAUUAGCUUUCAUCUCUCCCCUUUUGAUUUAAAUAUUGCCAAGCUCCAUUAAACUGGCUGUGUGAUUGCCAGAAAAUGGUCUACUACUGAAUUCCAAGUGUGUGUCUUUGUCACAGUGUAAAUUGAAAGGUCACAACAGGUCAUCUAAUUGCUUGGUACAUAUUCUAUUAAUUGCACUUUUAAUGUGUAAAGCACACUGAAAUUAUCAGAUAAAGGAUGCUACAUUGUGGUAAAAUAUCAGGCAUGUCUGAAUCAUAGUCAGAAAACAUAACAAAAUGUUUCUAAUAUCUGCUCCAAAAAUUUUGAUGUGGGUCCAUUUCCCUUUUAUUUUAAUUGACAGUGACUUGUUCACCUCCAUUGCUUCUGCUGUCAGCUCCUUUUCUUCUCAGAGAAGGGAUACUUGGAAUAUCCAAGGGCAGCUAAGUGCCCUUCCCUUUUAUUUGAUGGUUAUGCUCUGUUCAGGCAAGAAUGUAGGGAUUCUGUGGUACUUCUCAGAAUUUGUCUUUCUUAAUUCCUUCAGAAGGUGUGUUUAUACUGUAUCAUUUCUCUAAAGAAACACUGUCAAGAUGAAAAAUGGAAGGCCUAGGAGUUAGGAAAAAAAUUAAGAUGGUGAGGCUCUGCUUUAGCUUUAUCUAGUAUCUGCAAAAAUUGAUGAAUAACAGCUGCAGAAUUGGUAUUUGCCUAAUCCUGCAAAGUGUUGGCUCCUCUGAGUGAUAAAAUGCACCCUAAAUUCCCAGUGUGUAAGAGAAUAUAUUUUUAUGCUUUUUAAUUAAUCAAAAACUUACUAUCUUAAGCCAAAGGCUCAUCACUCAAUUUCCACUUUCCACAAUCAUUAUUACUUCCUGAUGCAUAUGUGGAGCUUAUGCAUCACUACUUCCAACAAUAUGUCAUCUUUCAACCAGAUAUCAUAAACCAAAGAGCAGUGAGACAAAAUUUGUUUUAAAGCAACUCACUCAGCAUCAGAUUGGAGCUCUGCUCACUUUUUAGGAUGCAUUUAGUACUCUAGUAUAUACCUUUAAGAAGGUGAAUGGUUUGUUUCCUGUUUCAAUUUAUGAAAUGAUCAAAUUUAUUUUUUAAAUACAAAGCAGAAAAAAAAUUAGUGUCUUACUAAGGUUAUGAAGGUUAUGAAAAAGUUUUCAAAUUGCUUAGUAUUUGUAGGAAUUGUUAUGGCAGGAAAGCUGAGCAACCAUUUUGACUGCAGUAUGACUGUACUUAUGUACAGUUAGAAAAGAAAGAUAGCAGGACAAACAUUUAAAAAAACCUAUUAAUUGCAAUAAUGUUCUUUUGCAAAAGAAUUCCAUCUUUUCUUCAGAAACCUUGGAACAAUUUCAAAGAUCAAAAUUUCUUUUAUUUUGCUAUAAGUUAUAUGUGUCUAAAUUAAACUACCUUUUCCCUAAAAAUUAAUUUUUAAUGCAGACAUUUUCAAAACUGAGUUAUUCAUCUCAGCAGCCAGAAAAAAGACAACAGUUCAAUUGCUCUGUUAUUACUGAUGAUGCUGAAGAUAAGUAUUGAUCCCCAAAACAAAUUCACUUUCUUAUUUGUUACAUAUAACUGAAUGUGAAAAAAAGUGGAAAAUAUUAGAAAUAAAGUGGCAGCCUUGACAUAAGGGUCAGAUUUGUAAAGGAACUUCCAUAUAUGAAUAAAAUGCUAUGCAAAUGGAAUUUAGACACAGAAUUAAAAAAAAAAAAAAGAAAAAAAAAAAACCAACCCAAAAAACGCACACCAUCCUUUCCACAGGAAUUUUCAUUCAAUUCCAGAUUCACUUCAGCUGGAACACAUAUGCAGGUACCAGAAAGGUCACAGACCUGCAGCAGUUAAGUAACUGCGCUAAGCUCUUCAAAAUAUUCCCAGGAAGUGCAUUUCCAGGCCCCCUGUGAACAUAUUCUUGAAACAGAAUGUUAUCAUCUUGUGCAUAAAUAUUUGUGCCGGGAAGACUUUUCUGUAAAUAAAGUUUGGAACGUAAUUGUGCAAUAAAAAAGAGGUAUGUUGCUUUUAUGGAUAAGGAGUGUUUCCAAAGUGUUGACAACCAGCCUAGACAAAAAAACAAGGUUUUCAGAGUAUAGAUGGAUGCACUAGUAAUUUUAGCUGUGUCAGGAUGUUACUUGCCAAAGUAACAAAUUUUAUAUAUUCCUGUGGUAGAACAACAUUUGGUUCUGUAGUAUGAUUUCAGAAUUGUUUUCCAAUAUUUAAGCUGGUGUAAUUCAAUAUAGAUUAUUGAGCAGAAUAUUGUCUGUACUCUUCUUAUAAACUAUCAGUCUGCACUGUGAAGUUAUUUCUAUUUUGUCUUUGUUGAGAAGAGACUGCCCCAAGAGAUAGGUCCCGAAAGGCCUGACAAUAUCACUUUUGAAACUAUUUACAUUCCUGACACUGCAUAAUAAAAUUUUUAUUCUGUUCUUUUGUGACUUUUUUAUUGCUUGCUUUUGAAACAUCAUGUUUUAUUAUCUUUCAGUCCUGUUAUCAAUCUUGAGCAAUAAGAUGACUGUAAUGACCUGUUUUAAUAAGCCUAUUACAGAUUUCUAUGUUGAUUUGACAUACCUAAGUGUAGUAAAAUGGUUUAUGAGGAACAAACAGCUGAGUAAUAUCCCAUUCAUAUCCUUGGAGAUGAAGUGAUUGUAGAUGAGAAAUAAAUAAUUGAAGAAGA
RNA transcript from Passer domesticus (house sparrow), 9134 nucleotides. It is a transcript of the gene named protocadherin 10, with no coding region annotated. The transcript has 13 exons. NCBI's taxonomy places the organism in Eukaryota, Metazoa, Chordata, Aves, Passeriformes, Passeridae. The record is from RefSeq and is a predicted model, not a curated record.